ACGCUGGCGGCGUGCUUAACACAUGCAAGUCGAACGAUGAAGCCCAGCUUGCUGGGUGGAUUAGUGGCGAACGGGUGAGUAAUACGUGAGUAACCUGCCUUUAACUCUGGGAUAAGCCUUGGAAACGGGGUCUAAUACCGGAUACGACCAACCCUCGCAUGGGGUGUUGGUGGAAAGGGAUUUUGUACUGGUUUUAGAUGGGCUCACGGCCUAUCAGCUUGGUGGUGAGGUAACGGCUCACCAAGGCGACGACGGGUAGCCGGCCUGAGAGGGUGACCGGCCACACUGGGACUGAGACACGGCCCAGACUCCUACGGGAGGCAGCAGUGGGGAAUAUUGCACAAUGGGCGCAAGCCUGAUGCAGCGACGCCGCGUGAGGGAUGACGGCCUUCGGGUUGUAAACCUCUUUCAGCAGGGGAGAAGCGAAAGUGACGGUACCUGCAGAAGAAGCGCCGGCUAACUACGUGCCAGCAGCCGCGGUAAUACGUAGGGCGCGAGCGUUGUCCGGAAUUAUUGGGCGUAAAGAGCUUGUAGGCGGUUUGUCGCGUCUGCUGUGAAGCCCGGGGCUUAACCCCGGGUUUGCAGUGGGUACGGGCAGACUAGAGUGCAGUAGGGGAGACUGGAAUUCCUGGUGUAGCGGUGAAAUGCGCAGAUAUCAGGAGGAACACCAAUGGCGAAGGCAGGUCUCUGGGCUGUAACUGACGCUGAGAAGCGAAAGCAUGGGGAGCGAACAGGAUUAGAUACCCUGGUAGUCCAUGCCGUAAACGUUGGGCACUAGGUGUGGGGAACAUUCCACGUUUUCCGCGCCGUAGCUAACGCAUUAAGUGCCCCGCCUGGGGAGUACGGCCGCAAGGCUAAAACUCAAAGAAAUUGACGGGGGCCCGCACAAGCGGCGGAGCAUGCGGAUUAAUUCGAUGCAACGCGAAGAACCUUACCAAGGCUUGACAUAUACUGGACCGCCUCAGAGAUGGGGUUUCCCUUUUAGGGCUGGUAUACAGGUGGUGCAUGGUUGUCGUCAGCUCGUGUCGUGAGAUGUUGGGUUAAGUCCCGCAACGAGCGCAACCCUCGUUCUAUGUUGCCAGCACGUAAUGGUGGGGACUCAUAGGAGACUGCCGGGGUUAACUCGGAGGAAGGUGGGGAUGACGUCAAAUCAUCAUGCCCCUUAUGUCUUGGGCUUCACGCAUGCUACAAUGGCCGGUACAAAGGGUUGCGAUACUGUGAGGUUGAGCUAAUCCCAAAAAGCCGGUCUCAGUUCGGAUUGGGGUCUGCAACUCGACCCCAUGAAGUCGGAGUCGCUAGUAAUCGCAGAUCAGCAACGCUGCGGUGAAUACGUUCCCGGGCCU
Molecule: ribosomal RNA, 1343 nt
Filed under: uncultured bacterium
Lineage: Bacteria
Description: 16S ribosomal RNA
Rfam family: Bacterial small subunit ribosomal RNA
Source: RNAcentral